Long non-coding RNA from Amblyraja radiata (thorny skate), 297 nucleotides. RefSeq lists it as uncharacterized. The record is from RefSeq and is a predicted model, not a curated record. The transcript has 3 exons. NCBI's taxonomy places the organism in Eukaryota, Metazoa, Chordata, Chondrichthyes, Rajiformes, Rajidae.
CCACUCAUAUCAAGGUCCGAGAUUUGAGGGAGACUCACAAGGCUGAUUUAACAAAUCUCAAAGAACAAGUGACGCUUCUGUACCAAGAGGCUGUAAGAUCAGAGGACAGGUCUUUGUCAAUGGAAGCUUCGUUCCUGUCUAAAAUCGAGCAGAUCCAAGAGGAGCUGGACAAUGUACAGCUUGUAUCUGCUCAGAAGCUGCUGCUGGAGCAGAAAGAUGUGGAGAUUGACUAUGAAGAGGAGGACGACCAGUUACACCUAAAUGUGAACUGGCCACAAUACGUCGAGGCACAAAAUG